RNAcentral lists this long non-coding RNA (491 nucleotides) under Elaeis guineensis (African oil palm). Its description in RNAcentral is "long non-coding RNA (EGUI_LNC054157)". The record is from RNAcentral. Lineage: Eukaryota; Viridiplantae; Streptophyta; Magnoliopsida; Arecales; Arecaceae.
CCCAGCUAUGCAACCCAAGAGGGGGGGGUGAAUUGGGUUUCUAAAAAUUUUAAGCCCAACAGAUAACUUAUGAAGAACAAAACAAUGGCUUUAAAUCAAUAUUAAUUUCCUAAAGCAGUAUUGCAAGGAUAUAAUAAAGAAAUAAGAUAAAGCGAUAAAGCACACCACAAACACAAGAAUUUAUAGUGGUUCGGUGCUAACCUUGCACCUACAUCCACUCCCCAAGAUCCCACUUGGGAAUUUCAAUCCACUAUCCUUUGUAUUCAACCCGAAUACAAAACGUCGGAAACUCCGACACUAGCUAUCCCAAGCUAGAAUACAAGACGUCGGAAACUCCGACACUAGCUAUCCCAAGCUAGAUCACUUGUUUCCUGGGUACAAGUAAACCCAAAACACUCCGAUUUCAGGUUCGGAUCAAUCUUUCCUUGUUUUGGAAAUCCUCCAAAAAUAAGAUCAAAAACUCACAAAGAGUAAGAAUAUUUAGAGCACAG